Molecule: ribosomal RNA, 395 nt
Filed under: uncultured bacterium
Lineage: Bacteria
Description: bacterial SSU rRNA
Rfam family: Bacterial small subunit ribosomal RNA
Source: RNAcentral
GUGUCAGCAGCCGCGGUAAUACAGAGGUGGCAAGCGUUGUUCGGAAUUACUGGGCGUAAAGGGCGCGUAGGCGGCCUACUAAGUCAGACGUGAAAUCCCCCGGCUUAACCUGGGAACUGCGUCUGAUACUGGAAGGCUUGAGUAUGGGAGAGGGAUGUAGAAUUCCCGGUGUAGUGGUGGAAUACGUAGAUAUCGGGAGGAAUACCAGUGGCGAAAGCGGCUUCCUGGCCUGUGCCUGACGCUGAUAUGCGAAAGCGUGGGUAGCAAACGGGAUUAGAUACCCCGGUAGUCCACGCCCUAAACGAUGGAUACUGGGUGUUGGUGGUCUUUACCCCACUAGUGCCGAAGCAAACGCGAUAAGUAUCCCGCCUGAGGACUACGGUCGCAAGACUAAA